Molecule: ribosomal RNA, 253 nt
Filed under: uncultured bacterium
Lineage: Bacteria
Description: partial 16S ribosomal RNA
Rfam family: Bacterial small subunit ribosomal RNA
Source: RNAcentral
UACGUAGGGUCCGAGCGUUGUCCGGAAUUACUGGGCGUAAAGAGCUCGUAGGUGGUUUGUUAAGUCUGUUGUGAAAGCCCCGGGCUCAACCUGGGAAUGGCAAUGGAUACUGGCAGGCUAGAGUGCGGUAGAGGGUAGUGGAAUUCCCGGUGUAGCGGUGAAAUGCGUAGAGAUCGGGAGGAACACCAGUGGCGAAGGCGGCUACCUGGACCAGCACUGACACUGAGGCACGAAAGCGUGGGGAGCAAACAGG